RNAcentral lists this unclassified non-coding RNA (785 nucleotides) under Hevea brasiliensis (rubber tree). Lineage: Eukaryota; Viridiplantae; Streptophyta; Magnoliopsida; Malpighiales; Euphorbiaceae. The record is from RNAcentral.
GCUUGCUUCACCCUCCCCGUCGAAAAGAUCUUGAAGGACUUCUUAUUAUGGGUUGAGCAAGAUCUUGGGCCUUGGGGACCGCUUGUGCUGGCUGUUGCAUACAUUCCUCUAACGGUCUUGGCGGUUCCAGCAUCGGUGCUUACUCUUGGUGGUGGAUAUCUCUUUGGGUUACCCGUGGGCUUUGUUGCUGAUUCUGUUGGUGCCACAAUUGGUGCUGGGUCUGCUUUUCUUCUUGGAAGAACAAUUGGUAGAUCUUUUGUUGUUUCCAAGUUGAAGGAUUAUCCACAGUUUAGGUCAGUUGCAAUUGCAAUUCAGAAAUCUGGCUUUAAGAUAGUUCUUCUGCUUCGACUUGUUCCCUUGCUUCCUUUUAACAUGUUGAAUUACCUGCUGUCUGUGACACCUGUUCCAUUAGGGGAAUACAUGCUGGCUUCCUGGAUAGGAAUGAUGCCAAUAACUCUUGCAUUAGUGUAUGUUGGAACAACUCUAAAAGAUCUUUCUGAUGUGACCCAUGGAUGGAGUGAGUUUUCAACUACGCGUUGGUUGUGCAUCAUAUUGGGCCUUGUUGUAUCUGUGGUGCUAAUUUUGUGUGUUACUAAAGUUGCCAAGUCUGCUUUGGAAAAAGCUUUGGCUGAGAAUGAGGAUAUAGAUAGCAUUUUGGCUUCUCCUCAGUUACCUAUUGUGGCUGAUCCUCCUGUUGAUCUGAGCCAGCCUCUCAUAAUCAAGAUAGACACAUCUGAAGAUGAUCAUGAAAAAUGAAUCUCAUAUUUUAUGGAAAUUGUUUCCCU